GAGGGUACAGCUCAAGUGGUAGAGCGCGUGCUUAGUAUGCAUGAGGUCCUGGGUUCAAUCCCCAGUACUGCCU
Molecule: transfer RNA, 73 nt
Organism: Camelus ferus (Wild Bactrian camel)
Lineage: Eukaryota; Metazoa; Chordata; Mammalia; Artiodactyla; Camelidae
Rfam family: tRNA
About the family: Transfer RNA (tRNA) molecules are approximately 80 nucleotides in length. Their secondary structure includes four short double-helical elements and three loops (D, anti-codon, and T loops).
Source: Rfam